Tetranychus urticae (two-spotted spider mite) is the source of this 1121-nucleotide long non-coding RNA. RefSeq lists it as uncharacterized. Lineage: Eukaryota; Metazoa; Arthropoda; Arachnida; Trombidiformes; Tetranychidae. The record is from RefSeq and is a predicted model, not a curated record.
AGAGUAAGCAUUGGUAAAUCAAAUGUAAUGUUACUUUUUAAUUAUUGAUGGUGCAUUUUGAAAUUGUGAUUUAAUCAGAAAGAAAAAUUAACCAAAAUUUGUGUAAUAAAGGGUCAAUAUGGAUGGUAACCAGAUUUGUGAGUAAACCUGGAAACAAACCGAGAGAAAAGACAAUGAUUAGGAAGUCCAAAAAGCAACAGUAAUUGUGUUAGGAAAACAAUGAAGGAAAGGAUGAAGACAAAAAAAAGACAGAAAAGGACAGAAAUGAUAAAGAAUUCUUUAGAUAAAUUUUUUAUCCUUGGUGUCAACCCAGCAAUAUAAUGAUGAGAGAUGAUAAAAUCUUCCCAAGACUUGAAGUCAACCUUGGAUAAAUUUAGCAUUAUUAAAGCCCAAAACAGGACUAAUAUACAUGGAAAUGCUGUUUUGGUUGUAUUGUAAUUUUGGGACUGUACAGUUGUUUACAUGGUAAAGUUGCUCCACUGGUUACCCACUUCUCUCUGAGAAUCAAUUGUGAGCAAUCAAAUUAACCUUCUCAGAUUCACUGAGAACCACGUAAUCAAAUGAACAAGGAUAACCUGAUCACCAUUCCCAAUGAUUACCAUUAAAAAUAAUCAUCUUAUAGACUCAUUGAAUUACCCUUGUCUGACUUGUUAACCUUCAGAUCACACAAUUAUUCAAAUGUAUACAAAUGACCCGGUCAAAUGAUGAUCAUUAUGGAUUAUGAUUGGCUCUAAACACACCAUUUACCUACCUAAUUCACUUGAUUCAGCAUCAUAUUUCCAUCUUGAACACUGUCCAUAUUGUGAACAAUUUAAUCCACCCUUAGCUUUUUGUUUUGCUCAUCUCAGUUGGCUUCUUUAAAUCAUUGUGGGUUGCUUUAUUGGUUGUAAUUUGUUUAUCAUCAUUGUACUCACAUACAUAUAUAUAUAUUAAUUGUACGAUUUGUUUGAUUGUGUGGACAUUUUGGUAUUAUGAUUAUCAUUUGCUUUAUUAUUGAAUCGCAAAAUCAAAAUGAUCUCUACUUUUACACACCUACACUUUAUAUCAAUGCAGUCGCCAUUAAGAAAUCUUAAUUGUAUAACUUAAUAGCAAGGCUUUGGGCUUAACCUUUUAUAUUACAA